UAAGGGAGCGUAGGCGGCUGAUUAAGUCAGCGGUGAAAGGUAGCAGCUUAACUGUUUUACAUGCCGUUGAUACUGGUUAGCUUGAGUUGACAGAAGGCAGAUAGAAUUCCUGGUGUAGCGGUGAAAUGCUUAGAUACCAGGAGGAAUACCGAUUGCGAAGGCAGUCUGCUGCAGUCACACUGACGCUGAGGCUCGAAGGUGCGGGGAUCAAACAGGAUUAGAUACCCUGU
RNAcentral lists this ribosomal RNA (230 nucleotides) under uncultured bacterium. RNAcentral describes it as "partial 16S ribosomal RNA". It matches the Rfam family "Bacterial small subunit ribosomal RNA", at positions 563 to 790 of the family's 1533-position model. The record is from RNAcentral.